UAAGGAAUAUUGGUCAAUGGACGCAAGUCUGAACCAGCCAUGCCGCGUGAAGGAUGAAGGUCCUCUGGAUUGUAAACUUCUUUUAUCUGGGACGAAAACGGGAUUUUUAUCUCAAUUGACGGUACCAGAGGAAUAAGCACCGGCUAACUCCGUGCCAGCAGCCGCGGUAAUACGGAGGGUGCGAGCGUUAUCCGGAUUUACUGGGUUUAAAGGGUGCGUAGGUGGGCCUAUAAGUCAGUGGUGAAAUCUCCGAGCUUAACUUGGAAACUGCCGUUGAUACUAUAGGUCUUGAAUUAUCUGGAGGUAAGCGGAAUAUGUCAUGUAGCGGUGAAAUGCUUAGAUAUGACAUAGAACACCAAUUGCGAAGGCAGCUUACUACAUAUAAAUUGACGCUGAGGCACGAAAGCGUGGGGAUCAAACA
Molecule: ribosomal RNA, 421 nt
Filed under: uncultured bacterium
Lineage: Bacteria
Description: bacterial SSU rRNA
Rfam family: Bacterial small subunit ribosomal RNA
Source: RNAcentral